Neopsephotus bourkii (Bourke's parrot) is the source of this 865-nucleotide long non-coding RNA. RefSeq lists it as uncharacterized. The transcript is spliced from 3 exons. The record is from RefSeq and is a predicted model, not a curated record. NCBI's taxonomy places the organism in Eukaryota, Metazoa, Chordata, Aves, Psittaciformes, Psittacidae.
CCCGGGCUGCCGCGGGCUCUCCGCGGGCUGCAGUGGCCUUACGCCAGGGUGCGGGACGCCAGCCCGGUUAGUCCCGAGUACCAGAACCCUUAUCCUGAAGAGUGAAAGACUGUGAUGAUAAGAUGCAGUGAAUCACCAGGGAACUCCAAGCUAGCCUUGAGUGGACUGACAGAUCCACACAGUGACAUGCAGCUACAUACAGAGAUACAGAUGGGUCUGCAGGACAGCGAGGUCAGUGCAGCCCUGCCUCUCAGCUCGUGCAGAGCCCUACAUUGCUGCGGUUGUGCUGUGUCCUCUUCUAUAGCAGGCUGACUUCCAGUUAUUCCUAGAGUCUCUCCACUGCUGCCUUAUUAGACAGUCCUCACAUCUUGUAACUUUAUGCAGCAUCUAAACACAAUGAUCUCUGCAGCUUUGCUAAGGCUUCCAAUAAGGUAAAUAAAGACCUGUCAUAUAGCAUUAUUUUUGUCUAUGGGAGAACUGAGAAACCUGAUGCUGUGCUGAGGCUGGGGUUCUGUUCCUGAAAAUGCAGCUUUCUGUCCAGAAACUCCAGAAAUCUGUGUCACUGCAUGCUGCAGUGAAGAUCUGUUUGUACAGAAAUUUUAAAGUCCCAUGUAAAGAAGCUGGCAGAGUCAUGCCAAAGGUUAAUGGAAAAAAAUGGAGAGGUUCCUCAUUUCAGAGUCAGUAUUCUGGUGUUCCAGGAGGCUUGAUGGCCAGCAUUAAAAAAGUGGUCCAAAAUUUUCCAAUUUGUUUGAAUUAUAGAAGUGGUCAACACUUUCAACUUUUUUUUAAAUGUCUUAACUUCUGUUUUGCAGUGUAUAUUUUAUUUGUCUAAGGCACAUUGCCUUUGAAAUGUCAUCUUAUUUAU